Molecule: ribosomal RNA, 253 nt
Filed under: uncultured bacterium
Lineage: Bacteria
Description: partial 16S ribosomal RNA
Rfam family: Bacterial small subunit ribosomal RNA
Source: RNAcentral
UACGUAGGGUGCGAGCGUUGUCCGGAAUUAUUGGGCGUAAAGGGCUCGUAGGCGGUUUGUCGCGUCGGGAGUGAAAACCUUGGGCUUAACUCAGGGCUUGCUUUCGAUACGGGCAGACUAGAGGUAUGCAGGGGAGAACGGAAUUCCUGGUGUAGCGGUGAAAUGCGCAGAUAUCAGGAGGAACACCGGUGGCGAAGGCGGUUCUCUGGGACGGUACUGACGCUGAGGCGCGAAAGCGUGGGGAGCGAACAGG